Molecule: long non-coding RNA, 1445 nt
Filed under: Oryctolagus cuniculus (rabbit)
Lineage: Eukaryota; Metazoa; Chordata; Mammalia; Lagomorpha; Leporidae
Description: lncRNA (ENSOCUG00000038609.1)
Source: RNAcentral
GGCACCGGAAGGUGAGCUUUCUCGCUGGCUCCCGAACACGCCCUGUGUGGAUCUGGUGACGGCGGCUCUGUGAGUCAUGUCGCUCUGAGUCACGCGCCUGUGACUCGAGCUUUUUUUGGGAGUCCAAAGGGUACAGAAAAACAGUCGUGAUGGCAGAGGCAGGGUGGGGAGGAGGAGGGAGGAGGAGAAGCGGGAGGGGGAGUGCGCGAGGGUUAGCUCCAGAGAGAAACCGACGUUUCUAGAAAAAGCCCGGGGAGGCAGCCCGGCACCCGGGACGUCCUGCAGCGGGCCGCGCGCGGGGAACUUCAGUAAACGUCUCUCCCAGGGAGGGAGGGGGAAGUGACCGGGCACAGGGACGGCAGCGGCUGUGUGCGCCCGGGCAGUGGCCUUUUCCGCCAGGACUGACUGCUCUCGGGGACCAGGGGUUGCCCCAGCUGUGGGGCCACGGCACCCAGUGACUGAGACAUGGUGGAGUGAGCAGUCCCCCAACACGUCCACGGCGAGAGGCUGAGACCCCUGCCCUUGUCCGGCCUGCUGUUCCGUGUUCUGGAAAGCGCCGGCAACGCCUCGCUGUCCCGCCUGGAGAGGGCUCCUGACCUAGAAUGCAGAGUGCCAGAACGUGCGAGAAGACCGCUGAGUCAUCGUCCACGCUCAGUUCGUUCCGCCCUCGGAUCCGUCCUUUGCAGGCACCCGGAGAGGGCGGCUUCAGAGCUGGCACCAACGGCAACGCGGCAGAGCCCCAGCAACAGAGUCGGGAUUGGCAGCACCGUCGAACGCCUGAGCGCAAGGUGCAACGAACGUUUGUUCCCCAUGGAGGUGACGUCAGAGAACUCGGUGGGGAAAGCUGGCUGUCCUUGGUCACAGAUUAUAUAACCAAAAAAGGCUCAAGUUUAUGCGCAGGGACACAGGGUACAGCUGCAUCUGUCACUUGGAGUCAGGCCCGUUCCCUUCAGAAAGAACCUGGGCCUUUAGUUCCCUUCGCCCUCCUUGACCCGGCCAGCGCGUCCCUUCCUGCGGGCUCAGGUCAUGGUUGUUAAGCUCCCCAAAGACCCCAAGCCCUCCAGCUCCGAGCCGUCUUUACUGUUUGAAACGGGACAUCAAGGAGAGAAAGGUGACGGCAAGGCGUUUAUGACCACUGCAGACAGAAUUGUACCCACCGGAGAGCAUUCGCGUGACAAUACCCCGCUGGGCCGCUUUGCUUUUGCGGGCCCCCUCUGAAAAUGGUGUCAGCCACGGCCAACCCGGGGGGACUUGCAGGCGCGCACCCUGACGACGGCCGGGGACGAGUGGUUUUAGUGUCCUGCCUCUUCUACAACGUAGGGGCUUUCACAAAGGGAGAGGAGAGAGACUGCACGUCCAUAUCAAGGCUGCAGUGGCGAUCUGUAGCGUUAGUGACAAAGGCAGGCGGAAAUAAAAACAAAGUGGAGAUGCCGGGGAUCGAACCC